ACCACGUGCUAAUUUCACUCUAAUACGUCUUUGAUUGUGCACUCUCAUGCCCCCUGUAAAGAGUUUUUUUGCCAUCAGGAAAUCUAACCGUAAUUGUUUUUUCUCGGGAUUGGAUUAAGUGAAAUAACAAUGUCUUUUUUCUUGUUAUGCAGUCAUUAGUGAGUGAACCCAGCGGUGGUUAGUGGGUGCGGUGGUGGUCGGUGUGGAUGCAGUGGUGGUGGUCACCGUGCAGCGUGGUGAGUGGCAGCACGGAGACAUCGUCGAGGUCGUCCCCGGCAGGAGGGAAGGGUGGCGACCCUCCCGCUAUCACCGCCAUCAUGGCCGUCUCCAUGGAGCCGUCGUGCACCGGGUCCCCAUCUGGGCAGCUCAACUCCUUAGGGUGCUCUGCUGGGUCUUCACGAGGCUCCGCAACCCGACUGGAGAGACGCCGCUUGCCGUGUUGAAUGCAGAGAGCAACGCGCCCGGUUGGACCGAUUUGGGUGAAACCGAGCAUGGGACUGAAUGGCCACACGUAGCAGAGAGCGCUGCACCACGGGAUCACCGCAUGGUCCCUGCCCCGGGCGCUGGGGCUCGCUGCCACUGCUUCCGCCGAUGGUGCCCGGAACUCGACGCACCUGACUGACGAACUCGGCCGCGUCUGCGAUGAGCGUCGCUCGUUCAUCCUCGUCGUCGUGCAGGCCGGCCUCGCGGCCCGCCCCCACCGCCUGCAUUGCCGUCUCCACCGCCUCCUU
Molecule: long non-coding RNA, 731 nt
Organism: Lethenteron reissneri (Far Eastern brook lamprey)
Lineage: Eukaryota; Metazoa; Chordata; Hyperoartia; Petromyzontiformes; Petromyzontidae
Source: RefSeq, a predicted model, not a curated record